Molecule: ribosomal RNA, 1074 nt
Filed under: uncultured bacterium
Lineage: Bacteria
Description: bacterial SSU rRNA
Rfam family: Bacterial small subunit ribosomal RNA
Source: RNAcentral
AGAGUUUGAUCAUGGCUCAGAACGAACGCUGGCGGCGUGCCUAACACAUGCAAGUCGAACGAGAAAGCAGACUUCGGUCUGCAAGUACAGUGGCAGACGGGUGAGUAACACGUGGGUAAUCUGCCCGGAGGUGGGGGAUAACUUUCCGAAAGGAAAGCUAAUACCGCAUAAUAUCCGGUCCGUUGCGACGGACCUGAUCAAAGUUGGCCUCUUCUUGAAAGCUAACACCAUCGGAUGAGCUCGCGGCCCAUUAGCUUGUUGGUGAGGUAAAGGCUCACCAAGGCUACGAUGGGUAGCCGGCCUGAGAGGGCGAUCGGCCACACUGGAACUGAGACACGGUCCAGACUCCUACGGGAGGCAGCAGUGAGGAAUUUUGCGCAAUGGGGGAAACCCUGACGCAGCGACGCCGCGUGUAGGACGAAGGCCUUCGGGUCGUAAACUACUGUCAAGUGGGACGAAUGCCACGGGGGCUAAUAUCUCCUGUGGUUGACGGUACCACUGAAGGAAGCCCCGGCUAACUCCGUGCCAGCAGCCGCGGUAAUACGGAGGGGGCAAGCGUUGUUCGGAAUUAUUGGGCGUAAAGGGCGCGUAGGCGGCCAACUAAGUCAGGCGUGAAAUCCCGCGGCUCAACCGCGGAACUGCGCUUGAAACUAUUUGGCUUGAGUCCCGGAGAGGGUAGUGGAAUUCCUAGUGUAGCGGUGAAAUGCGUAGAUAUUAGGAGGAACACCAGUGGCGAAGGCGACUACCUGGACGGGUACUGACGCUGAGGCGCGAAAGCAUGGGGAGCAAACAGGAUUAGAUACCCUGGUAGUCCAUGCUGUAAACGAUGAGCACUUGGUGUUGCGGGUAUCGACCCCUGCAGUGCCGAAGCUAACGCAUUAAGUGCUCCGCCUGGGGAGUACGGUCGCAAGGCUGAAACUCAAAGGAAUUGACGGGGGCCCGCACAAGCGGUGGAGCAUGUGGUUUAAUUCGACGCAACGCGAAGAACCUUACCUGGGUUUAAAUUGCGGUGGACCGCUUCAGAGAUGAAGCUUCCCUUCGGGGCUGCCGUGAAGGUGCUGCAUGGCUGUCGUC